Molecule: ribosomal RNA, 451 nt
Filed under: uncultured bacterium
Lineage: Bacteria
Description: partial 16S ribosomal RNA
Rfam family: Bacterial small subunit ribosomal RNA
Source: RNAcentral
GAUGAACGCUGGCGGCGUGCCUAAUACAUGCAAGUCGAACGAGGUCUUCGGACCUAGUGGCGAACGGGUGAGUAACACGUUGGUACCUACCCCGAAGUGGGGAAUAACUGCCCGAAAGGGUGGCUAAUACCGCAUAAUACCGCAAGGUUAAAGCAGUGAUGCGCUUCGGGAGGGGCCUGCGUCCCAUUAGCUAGUUGGUAGGGUAAUGGCCUACCAAGGCGACGAUGGGUAGCUGGAUCGAGAGGUUGACCAGCCACACUGGGACUGAGAUACGGCCCAGACUCCUACGGGAGGCAGCAGUAAGGAAUCUUCCACAAUGGACGAAAGUUUGAUGGAGCAACGCCGCGUGCAGGAUGACGGCCUUCGGGUUGUAAACUGCUUUUAUACGGGAAGAUUAUGACGGUACCGUAUGAAUAAGGACCGGCUAACUACGUGCCAGCAGCCGCCGUAA